This 345-nucleotide ribosomal RNA is filed under the name uncultured bacterium. RNAcentral describes it as "partial 16S ribosomal RNA". It matches the Rfam family "Bacterial small subunit ribosomal RNA", at positions 338 to 694 of the family's 1533-position model. The record is from RNAcentral.
CCUACGGGAGGCAGCAGUAGAGAAUCAUUCACAAUGGGGGAAACCCUGAUGGGGCGACGCCGCGUGGGGGAAUGAAGGUCUCCGGAUUGUAAACCCCUGUCAUGUGGGAGCAAAUUAAAAAGAUAGUACCACAAGAGGAAGCGACGGCUAACACUGUGCCAGCAGCCGCGGUAAUACAGAGGUCUCAAGCGUUGUUCGGAAUCACUGGGCGUAAAGCGUGCGUAGGCUGUUUCGUAAGUCGUGUGUGAAAGGCGCGGGCUCAACCCGCGGACGGCACAAGAUACUGCGAGACUAGAGUAAUGGAGAGGGAACCGGAAUUCGCGGUGUAGCAGUGAAAUGCGUAGA